This 869-nucleotide ribosomal RNA is filed under the name uncultured bacterium. Its description in RNAcentral is "bacterial SSU rRNA". It matches the Rfam family "Bacterial small subunit ribosomal RNA", at positions 26 to 902 of the family's 1533-position model. The record is from RNAcentral.
AGGACGAACGCUGGCGGCGUGCUUAACACAUGCAAGUCGAACGAGGUCCAUGGUGUAGCAAUACACCGGAAGAUCUAGUGGCGAACGGGUGCGUAACACGUGAGGAACUUGUCCCGGUCUCUGGGAUAACAGUUGGAAACGACUGCUAAUACCGGAUGACGUCGGAGCGUCGCAUGGCGCGCUGACGAAAGGGUUACUGGAUCGGGAGAGCCUCGCGGCCUAUCAGCUUGUUGGUGGGGUAACGGCCUACCAAGGCAUCGACGGGUAGCUGGUCUGAGAGGAUGAUCAGCCACACUGGGACUGAGACACGGCCCAGACUCCUACGGGAGGCAGCAGUGGGGAAUCUUGCGCAAUGGGCGAAAGCCUGACGCAGCAACGCCGCGUGCGGGAAGAAGGCUCUCGGGUUGUAAACCGCUUUCAGCAGGAACGAAAAUGACGGUACUUGCAGAAGAAGGUGCGGCCAACUACGUGCCAGCAGCCGCGGUGACACGUAGGCACCAAGCGUUGUCCGGAUUUAUUGGGCGUAAAGCGCUCGUAGGCGGUUCGGUAAGUCAGGUGUGAAAACUUUGGGCUUAACCCAAAGCCUGCAUCUGAUACUGCCGUGACUAGAGUUCGGUAGGGGAGUGGGGAAUUCCUAGUGUAGCGGUGAAAUGCGCAGAUAUUAGGAGGAACACCGGUGGCGAAGGCGCCACUCUGGGCCGAUACUGACGCUGAGGAGCGAAAGCGUGGGUAGCAAACAGGAUUAGAUACCCUGGUAGUCCACGCCGUAAACGUUGGGCACUAGGUGUGGGUUUCAACCAACGAAAUCCGCGCCGUCGCUAACGCAUUAAGUGCCCCGCCUGGGGAGUACGGCCGCAAGGUUAAAACUC